RNAcentral lists this ribosomal RNA (435 nucleotides) under Actinobacillus hominis. RNAcentral's name for it is "bacterial SSU rRNA". It matches the Rfam family "Bacterial small subunit ribosomal RNA", at positions 62 to 486 of the family's 1533-position model. The record is from RNAcentral. Lineage: Bacteria; Pseudomonadati; Pseudomonadota; Gammaproteobacteria; Pasteurellales; Pasteurellaceae.
UCGAACGGUAGCACAAAGGAGCUUGCUCCUUGGGUGACGAGUGGCGGACGGGUGAGUAAUGCUUGGGAAUCUGGCUCAUGGAGGGGGAUAACUACGGGAAACUGUAGCUAAUACCGCGUAAUAUCUUCGGAUUAAAGWGUGGGACCKYMRGGCCACWUGCCAUGAGAUGAGCCCAAGUGGGAUUAGGUAGUUGGUGGGGUAAAGGCCUACCAAGCCGACGAUCUCUAGCUGGUCUGAGAGGAUGACCAGCCACACUGGAACUGAGACACGGUCCAGACUCCUACGGGAGGCAGCAGUGGGGAAUAUUGCACAAUGGGGGGAACCCUGAUGCAGCCAUGCCGCGUGAAUGAAGAAGGCCUUCGGGUUGUAAAGUUCUUUCGGUAGCGAGGAAGGUGGUAAUGUUAAUAGCAUUAUCAAUUGACGUUAACUACAGAA